AGGGUUCGAUUCUGGCUCAGGAUGAACGCUAGCUACAGGCUUAACACAUGCAAGUCAGGGGCAGCAUGGUCUUAGCUUGCUAAGGCCGAUGGCGACCGGCGCACGGGUGAGUAACGCGUAUCCAACCUUCCCCUUAGUAGGGCAUAGCCCGUAGAAAUGCGGAUUAAUACCCUAUGUUGUCAGUAGAGGACAUCUGAAGUUGACCAAAGGUUCACCGCUAAGGGAUGGGGAUGCGUCCGAUUAGGCAGUCGGCGGGGUAACGGCCCACCGAGCCGUCGAUCGGUAGGGGUUCUGAGAGGAAGGUCCCCCACACUGGUACUGAGACACGGACCAGACUCCUACGGGAGGCAGCAGUGAGGAAUAUUGGUCAAUGGGCGUAAGCCUGAACCAGCCAAGUAGCGUGCAGGACGACGGCCCUACGGGUUGUAAACUGCUUUUAUGCGGGGAUAACCGGCGCCACGCGUGGCGCCCUGCAGGUACCGCAUGAAUAAGGACCGGCUAAUUCCGUGCCAGCAGCCGC
Molecule: ribosomal RNA, 520 nt
Filed under: uncultured bacterium
Lineage: Bacteria
Description: bacterial SSU rRNA
Rfam family: Bacterial small subunit ribosomal RNA
Source: RNAcentral